This 398-nucleotide ribosomal RNA is filed under the name uncultured bacterium. Its description in RNAcentral is "bacterial SSU rRNA". It matches the Rfam family "Bacterial small subunit ribosomal RNA", at positions 358 to 773 of the family's 1533-position model. The record is from RNAcentral.
GGAAUAUUGGACAAUGGGCGAAAGCCUGAUCCAGCAAUGCCGCGUGAGUGAUGAAGGCCUUAGGGUUGUAAAGCUCUUUUACCCGGGAUGAUAAUGACAGUACCGGGAGAAUCAGCUCCGGCUAACUCCGUGCCAGCAGCCGCGGUAAUACGGAGGGAGCUAGCGUUGUUCGGAAUUACUGGGCGUAAAGCGCACGUAGGCGGCUUUUUAAGUCAGGGGUGAAAUCCCGGGGCUCAACCCCGGAACUGCCUCUGAAACUGGAUGGCUAGAAUCUUGGAGAGGCGAGUGGAAUUCCGAGUGUAGAGGUGAAAUUCGUAGAUAUUCGGAGGAACACCAGUGGCGAAGGCGGCUCACUGGCUCGAUACUGACGCUGAGGUGCGAAAGCGUGGGGAGCAAAC